GACGAACGCUGGCGGCGUGCCUAAUACAUGCAAGUAGGACGCAGUUGCGAACGGGUGAGUAACGCGUAGGUAACUGCCUAUUAGAGGGGGAUAACUAUUGGAAACGAUAGCUAAUACCGCAUACUAGUAGAUGGACCUGCGUUGGAUUAGCUAGUAGGUAGGGUAAUGGCCUACCUAGCCAAGGAUACAUAGACGACCUGUGAGGGUGGUCGGCCCACCUGGGACUGGGACACGGCCCAGACUCCUUCGGGAGGCAGCAGUAGGGAAGCUUCGGCAAUGGGGGGAACCCUGACCGAGCCACGCCGCGUGAGUGAAGAAGGUUUUCGGAUCGUAAAGCUCUGUUGUUAAGGAAGCGGUACUUAACCAGAAAGGGACGGCUAACUACGUGCCAGCAGCCGCGGUAAUUC
This 407-nucleotide ribosomal RNA is filed under the name uncultured bacterium. RNAcentral describes it as "partial 16S ribosomal RNA". It matches the Rfam family "Bacterial small subunit ribosomal RNA", at positions 28 to 526 of the family's 1533-position model. The record is from RNAcentral.